UUGGUCAACCGGCACAGCGCCCCGCCCACAUCACUCACCCUCUCGGCUGCCCUGGUUGGAUCGAGCACCGCUGGAGCAGCGCUGCGUGCUGGAACGUGCUCUGCAGUAGCUGCUCUCCCAGAACAGCAAUGGCAGAACUCAGCUCCAUGAUCCAAAGCUAUGACAGCACUCUGACAACAGGAGACCAAC
Molecule: long non-coding RNA, 189 nt
Organism: Numida meleagris (helmeted guineafowl)
Lineage: Eukaryota; Metazoa; Chordata; Aves; Galliformes; Numididae
Exons: 2
Source: RefSeq, a predicted model, not a curated record